Long non-coding RNA from Phyllopteryx taeniolatus (common seadragon), 976 nucleotides. RefSeq lists it as uncharacterized. The record is from RefSeq and is a predicted model, not a curated record. Lineage: Eukaryota; Metazoa; Chordata; Actinopteri; Syngnathiformes; Syngnathidae. The transcript has 3 exons.
CACGGUCAAAGUUUCUGCCCAGUAUGAAUAUGAUGAAACAAAGGACACUUGUCUUAUCGAAAUAGUAACAUUGAAAUAUUAAACAAAAUAGAGGCAGAAUAUUCCCAUUAAUGAAGUGCUGAAGUAAUACGAUACAAUGGUUUUACCUUAUUAAUAUUAUAGCAGGUCUCAUAACAUGACAGGGAGUGUAUGUUCAAAAAUGUAAUCAUUUUUAAUACUAUAAUCAAUGUAUAUUUUAAAUAACACCCAUUUGUAACAAAUUUGGUGAGUCAACCUCAUUGAUUUUAAGUUUUUUUCCCCCCUUCUUUUUAUUAUUAUUGUAAAUUAACUUUGUACACAAAUGAAACAACUUAAUUGAGCCACUGAGAACAAGAGUGGGCCAACUCAAUUUUUGUCCAUUUUUAAUGACAGUAAGUACAGAUAAAUAUUGAUCUAAUGUAAGUUAGUUAGUUCCAAUUUUGAUAUAUAGGUGGCAGUCCAUUACUGCUCUCAGCACUUUUCCUGAUUCAACAGUGCAACACAGGCCUCACUCCCAUUUUCAAAAUGGCCACACACAUGAAAACAGGGUUCACCUGGCAAAAACAUCCCAGCAAAUGAGGUUUAGAAACUGAUGUAGACUCGGAAAACAACCGAGAUGUUACUGACAGGGAUCCAAACAAUGACAGUUAAGAUGAUGACAGCACCUCAGUUGUGAAUAGAAGUCAUGGACCUAAAACCCAUCCCUAUAAUCUGAAUAACCAGUAGAUGCAGCGUCAUAUCAUGAAGUGAUGUCAUGGGCAUGGACACGAGAGAGCUUGAGCAUGACAUCAUGACAUUCGACAUACGAGCUAGUGUGAGUGCGCUUUACUUUCAUUACAAAUGACACGCAUGCUAUUUGUUUUUGUAAUUGUGUUAGACAAAGGCAGUUGGCCGUGUUCUUCCUGGUCUUGUGGCUUCUUUUAGUUCACCUGUCACAGCUGAGCUAUGGAACAUGCAU